Lycium barbarum (goji berry) is the source of this 2298-nucleotide long non-coding RNA. RefSeq lists it as uncharacterized. The transcript is spliced from 3 exons. Lineage: Eukaryota; Viridiplantae; Streptophyta; Magnoliopsida; Solanales; Solanaceae. The record is from RefSeq and is a predicted model, not a curated record.
CCUAGAACGACCUCCUACUCUCCUCCAACAUCAAGAACACCAAGGGUUUUCAAGAAAACCCAUCUCAAGAUUCAAGAAUCAAGAUUUAGGAAAUCUUCUCCAAAAUUCAAGUCUUUAAUUCAAGUUUUGGAGCAAUUAAGGUACGGAUUUACAGGACGACGCUUCUGCUCAAUAGGAUUUGCACGUACCAGCUUAUUGGUGAGCCCCAUCUCAUUCGGGGUUUAGACAUUGUAUUUCUUUAUUUCGUUUUGCAUCUAAAGGUAUGCUGGGGGCCUUGUCCCAGUAAGUAUGUUUUCCAGUCAGACUCAUGAUAGAGGUUUCAUAGACUAGACAAGUCAGUUAUGUCAUGUCAGACAUUUGGAGUCGUAUAGCCAAUUUGGCUCACUCAUGUUUAAACAAGUAUUCUAUUAACUAUUAUGACUUACCAUGUUUUAUAAAGGCUCAUCAUGCAUUCACGUUAUAUUCCGCUUAUGUUAUGUAUCAUGAUGAUUCAGCAGGCCAUGUGGUUCGCUCGGUCACAUGCAGUCAGGCACCGAGUGCCGUGUUACGUCCAGGCCAUGGUUCGGGGCGUGACAUUUUCUUACUCUUAAUUAGGAAGUAUUAGGAAAAAUAUUCCUUUUUUAUGACGUUGGUGUCCACGCCACAUGUGCGCACCUCGAUUAUUCACAUGGUACUUGCCACUUCCUACCAAGACAGGUACGGGGUAACUCUGUCCAUUGAGACUUAGGCAUACAAAAGAAAUCACCUAGUGAUUUUUGUCUCCGUUGGUAGAACGUGACACAUCAUGAUUCUCCUUCUGCCACUAGGCCACACCCUGGGGGCCAGAAAUAAAUUCUUGUCGUACUUAGUUUUCCGAAGUACGAUUCAAGAAUACUCCCCCGGAUCAAUAUUAGCAAAUAUGUUAGCUAAUAAUGCUAAGUAAUAUGAAUAGUUGGAUCGAUGAGGAAAGAAACAAAGCUUUUGAUAGUUCUGGGGAGUGUUUGAUAGAGUCGUAGAGCCAAUAUUUGUCAUGGCAAAGUUGGACCAGUAUUCUUAAGAGGUUGGUUUCCCAAAAUUCUCACUAGCUCUGUCAUCUAAAUAAUUGGACAGAGCAAAGUACGAUCUUGGUGGAGAUUCGGAUAAGUUCUGAUGAAUAAAGGAAGAAUCGGUAGAAACUCGCAGCUGAAAAAGUUGUUUGUGAUCGCUGUGUACAUGACCCGUUAUUUGAUUCAUUGCAAGAUCACAUGGACUUUCAAUUAAAACGCAUUAAACAUUGUGAAAGGCCAACAUUUGCUACAUCAGGCAUAAUCCAGGACAUCCCGAAGACCAGACCUUGUAAGGCCAACUUCAAGAUGCUAAUAGUACCUAGUGAUCUUCCACUGGGCCUAGAAGGAUGUUAAGGUUUAGAAUCAAAGAAGUAAUUGCUUGACAAUAGGGAAUAUAUUUAUUAUUUAUUCAUAGCAAAAGUUGAGCAAACCAAUGGGCUAGAGCUUCUUCUAUAUAAUAGGGAAUAAAUUAAAUAAAAAGAAAAUUGAAUAGCAGUCCACCUGUCUUAGAUAGUAAGAAGUAUUGCCUGAAAAAGACUAACAAAUAUCAAUUGACCGGAUAAUUUAAAUCUAACAUGAUGAAUCUCUUUCACCCCUUAUCUCCUUAUGUUCGUCGAAUCUUACAAUUCAUUGCUACCACAAGGCCACAUUCUUGGGUGCUAAUCUCGUCAUUUUUAUUACUGAUGAUAGCAAGGAAAUCCGUAAUCUGUAUGACUAUUUGUUUAUUGCCUGGUGAAGACAGUACAGAAGAGUCUCUCAACAAGGGAAGCACAAAAAUUUAGAUGCACAAGUAAAUUGAAUAUCCCCUAGAAAACUGAAGUCAGGAACAAAAAUCCCAUAAUAAAAAUGGAACAGGAAAUAAUUUUUCACUGUCUCCCUCUCCAAAAACCCACGGGAGGGAGGCUUCUUCAUGGAAACAAUAAUCGCGACAUAAUUAAGUCUCUUUCCUGUCAAAGCAUAAGAUAUUGUCAUGUACAAAUUAAUUUGCAAAGCACUGUAGCGAACCAAUAGUUCACGAAAAGUGAGACUGAUAUUAACCCAUCAAAGUGAUAAUCUACACUUCUUCCGGAAAUGCUAAUUACUGAAUAUCUCAUGUAACUGAAAUCUUAGACUGCUACAUGAUUUAUACAUACUUGAAUUAGCUGAUGAUCGGUGACGCUUUGAGAUCAAAAACGUCAGCCAUUCCACUACGUCUCGUUUUGCCUGCCACUUUGUUUCAGAAUUUAUGGUACUUGUCUGCCCGAAAGCAUCCAAAUAAUCCUCUGAGACAACA